This 808-nucleotide unclassified non-coding RNA is filed under the name Vibrio vulnificus. RNAcentral's name for it is "16S-23S intergenic spacer region". The stretch from base 213 to 285 matches the Rfam family "tRNA". The record is from RNAcentral. Lineage: Bacteria; Pseudomonadati; Pseudomonadota; Gammaproteobacteria; Vibrionales; Vibrionaceae.
GGUUCAUGACUGGGGUGAAGUCGUAACAAGGUAGCGCUAGGGGAACCUGGCGCUGGAUCACCUCCUUAUACGAUGAUUAUUGCGAUGAGUGUUCACACAGAUUGAUAUGGUUUAGAAAGUUUAGAGUAUCUUAGUGUCCCGUUCGUCUAGAGGCCUAGGACACCGCCCUUUCACGGCGGUAACAGGGGUUCGACUCCCCUACGGGAUACCAUGGGUCGUUAGCUCAGUCGGUAGAGCAGUUGACUUUUAAUCAAUUGGUCGCAGGUUCGAAUCCUGCACGACCCACCAUUACUUCAAGAGUUGGGGCUAUAGCUCAGCUGGGAGAGCGCCUGCCUUGCACGCAGGAGGUCUGCGGUUCGAUCCCGCAUAGCUCCACCAUUCUUGAACGCAAUGGGCGAUUAGCUCAGUUGGGAGAGCACCUGCCUUACAAGCAGGGGGUCACUGGUUCGAACCCGGUAUCGCCCACCACUCUUUAAAUAUUUUUAGUGUUUCUUAAUGAAAACCACCUUCUUUAUGUCUGUGGUUGAUUUUUCGACGCUGAAAGUCUUUAAAAAGUGUGUUUCUCAUAGAGAAUUGCAUUGCUCUUUAACAAUUUGGAAAGCUGACAAAACAACAAUUUAUUGUUGUUUGUAAAGUUCUCAAUGUUUGUCUUUAAGACAAACACCAACAAACACAUUCAAGUGUUCUUGGGAAUGUCACUGUUAAGUGACUAUUCGAAAUUGAGUCCGGCAAAAUCAACGCUAUCUCGCUCAUUCAAAUAAUGAGAUAGCAACUUUGGUUGUUUAACAAAGACCCUUUGGGGUUGUAU